GAUGAACGCUGGCGGCGUGCCUAAUACAUGCAAGUCGAGCGAACAGACGAGGAGCUUGCUCCUUUGACGUUAGCGGCGGACGGGUGAGUAACACGUAGGUAACCUACCUAUAAGACUGGGAUAACUUCGGGAAACCGGAGCUAAUACCGGAUAAUAUUUCGAACCGCAUGGUUCGAUAGUGAAAGAUGGCUUUGCUAUCACUUAUAGAUGGACCUGCGCCGUAUUAGCUAGUUGGUAAGGUAACGGCUUACCAAGGCAACGAUACGUAGCCGACCUGAGAGGGUGAUCGGCCACACUGGAACUGAGACACGGUCCAGACUCCUACGGGAGGCAGCAGUAGGGAAUCUUCCGCAAUGGGCGAAAGCCUGACGGAGCAACGCCGCGUGAGUGAUGAAGGUCUUCGGAUCGUGAAACUCUGUUAUUAGGGAAGAACAAACGUGUAAGUAACUGUGCACGUCUUGACGGUACCUAAUCAGAAAGCCACGGCUAACUACGUG
This 497-nucleotide ribosomal RNA is filed under the name uncultured bacterium. RNAcentral describes it as "partial 16S ribosomal RNA". It matches the Rfam family "Bacterial small subunit ribosomal RNA", at positions 28 to 507 of the family's 1533-position model. The record is from RNAcentral.